RNAcentral lists this ribosomal RNA (340 nucleotides) under Theileria ovis. RNAcentral describes it as "SSU rRNA". It matches the Rfam family "Eukaryotic small subunit ribosomal RNA", at positions 516 to 889 of the family's 1831-position model. The record is from RNAcentral. Lineage: Eukaryota; Apicomplexa; Aconoidasida; Piroplasmida; Theileriidae.
GAUGGGAAUUUAAACCUCUUCCAGAGUAUCAAUUGGAGGGCAAGUCUGGUGCCAGCAGCCGCGGUAAUUCCAGCUCCAAUAGCGUAUAUUAAAAUUGUUGCAGUUAAAAAGCUCGUAGUUGAAUUUCUGCUGCAUUGCUUUUGCUCCUUUACGAGUCUUUGCAUUGUGGCUUAUUUCGGACUUUGUUUUACAAUGUCCGGAUGUUUACUUUGAGAAAAUUAGAGUGCUCAAAGCAGGCUUUCGCCUUGAAUAGUUUAGCAUGGAAUAAUAAAGUAGGACUUUGGUUCUAUUUUGUUGGUUUUAGGUACCAAAGUAAUGGUUAAUAGGAACAGUUGGGGGC